Molecule: non-coding RNA, 5986 nt
Organism: Doryrhamphus excisus (bluestripe pipefish)
Lineage: Eukaryota; Metazoa; Chordata; Actinopteri; Syngnathiformes; Syngnathidae
Source: RefSeq, a predicted model, not a curated record
CAACAUCACUCUUUCACUGGACACAACAACCUGUGCUGAUACAGUUUGAAACAAAACAAGAAAUCAUUUCAUUGUGAUAGUACUGGUCCAGGUUUAGAUGAUACAGAAAAGUAGACCACUGUUCGGUCUUUUGCUUUUGAGAUAGUUUGAUUAGACGAGGUCAAGAUGAGUAGGAGCAAUGAGCUUCUCCACAUUGACGUGAACAUCGAUGAGAACGAACCUCACAGAGGCGUCCUGGACCUCCUCAGAACUCUCAGACCUCAGUGGAGGCCUCAAGACAUCCACAUGAAGACCUUCACAGAGGGCCUCACCAAUCAUCUCCUGGGCUGUUGUGUGGACCAGUCGGACACUGUUCUGGUGCGUCUGUACGGCAAACAGACGGAGCUCUUUGUCGACCGCCAGAGAGAGGUGGAAAUGUUCCAGGUGUUCCACGCCCAUGGAUGCGGUCCUGAAAUCUACUGCAGCUUCCAGAAUGGAAUCUGCUACCAGUUUGUUGAAGGAACCGUGCUGGAGGACACGCUGCUCUAUCAACCCUCCAUUUACAGAUUGAUUGCGGCAGAGAUGGGGAGAAUCCACUCCAUCCAGACUAAAUGCGCUCACCCCCCAGAGCCUUUCCUGUGGACCAAAGUGUCCCACUUUCUCACGCUACUGAAGAAGAGCGCCCACCACAGCCCGGUGCAGACGCUGUGCACAAAGAGUUCCGCGGCCAGCCAGCAGUUGCCCAGCUUGGUGACGUUGUCAAGGGAGGCGGAGUCACUGGAGAGACACCUCUCGCUGGUCGACUCGCCGACCGUGAUGUGUCACAACGACCUCCUGACCAAAAACAUCAUCCACGACCACAAGCAGGGCAGGGUGAAAUUCAUCGACUACGAGUAUGCCGAUUACAACUAUCAAGCUUUCGAUAUUGGCAAUCACUUCAAUGAAUUUGCUGGCAUGGAAGGCGUGGAGGAUGUCGACUACAGCCGCUACCCGAGCUGCCAGCUGCAGAGCGCCUGGCUGAAGGCCUACCUGGAGAGCUACAAGCACUGCAGAGGGCAAGAUAUCAGCGUCACCAAAGCCGAAGUGACGCGACUCUACCUUCAAGUCUGCAAGUUCUCUCUGCAGGCGUCAAACUUCUUCUGGGGUCUGUGGGCCGUCCUCCAGUCUCAAUGCUCAUCUCUUGAUUUUGACUUCCACAGCAACAUCGUCAAGCGCUAUGGCGACCUGAGAGGAAAUGUGAUCCAGAGGGCCGCCAAGGCACAGAGGAGCUAUUGUUUCUUCAGGCCGUCACUCCUGCUUUUACGUGCACGUCCCUCAUCCCCACCGUGCUCGGCCACAUGCUCCAUGUCUGCUCCUCCUCCUCCUCACCGCCGCCAGCACGGGUCACCCCAAAGUGCACGGGCCGGGUCAGGUUACCUGGCUUUAAGUAGUCACUGUUGCCAAGCAAGACUGAAAUUGACAGGAUGGCUAGCCUGCUAACCUCUGUACACCCCCCCCCCCCCAACACACACAAACGAAAACUUCCACUCAGAAAAUCAUACUCAUUAGAAUACAACAUUCACAUAUUUAACUUUAAAAAUAACUGCAAUACCAAGGAACCACUUUUUUCCGACAUUUUAAAAAUGAUUAUUGCGUAACACAGGUAUGUGACUGUCAUGUAUUCUAAUGUAUUUUACAGACAUAACACUUUUUUUACACCGUUAGCUCACAGAAAUUCAAUAUUUUUUCAAACAAGUGGCAUCCUUUUAGACUUAAAAAAAUAAACAAAUUCCAUCUCAGAAUACGAGAACGAAGAAUGAGGGUCACAUAUUUAACAUUAAAGGACAUCACACUGAUUACUAGUUACUAGGAAUGGCCCAAUACCAAUAUCCCAAUAUCCCAAUACAAUACCAAUAUCCCAAAAUCCCAGUAUUCUAAUAUCCCAAUACCAAUAUCCCAGUAUCCCAAUAUCCCAGCAUCCCAAUAUCCCAAUAUCCCAAUAUCCCAAUACCCCAUUUUCCCAAUAUCCCAAUACCAAUUUCCCAAUAUCCUAAUAUCUGUACAUUUGGCCAGGAUUGUACUGAUACUUGGAACAGUCCACACCUACUAAUAAGAGUUUUUUUGUGGUGGAAAAUGCUUGGACACUCCUGUCCUAGCGUGCAGUUAAGCAAACACGUUUCAAAAAUGUAUAUGAAAAUGUUGAAUGUGCGUUUAGCAUUUUUGGCACAUAUAGGCACACAAAGAAGUGAUUUAAUAUGAUAAGUGGAGGUCUAAAGUCAGUGUGGAAAUGUGUCAGUGUGUGUGUGUUUCCUCCCACUGAUAUCCCCCUGAGCCAAAUCUCCUCGCUGACUUCCCAAAGAGUGACAAGCGUCUGCACGGCCUUGUGCUCUAAUCCCAGCCAGAUGUGUAUGUGACAAUAGCCAACCACAAGAGUCCAUAUUUACUUUGCUUGAGUCAGGCGGAGUAGUCUGCUGUUUGACAAAGACAUUAUUAUGAGGAAAUGAACAAGGAGGAGGUCCACUGUUUGGAAUGAAACACACUCCAUGUGUGCACAAAAGAACAUUGUGAAAGGAAAUACCUGCACUUAAUUUUUUACAAUCUUUCUGCUAAACUACAAAAACGUUGCACUUUCAUCAGAAAUGUCUCAAUUUCAUCCGCCGUCAUGAUAAAGAUUAUAAUAAAAGUGCAUGUGAGUAGUAGGAGACACUGUGAGACUCUUUUAAACUGUAUUUUUGGCCUUUCACAUAGAAAAGUCAGUUUUUCCUCUAUAAUAACUUCAUGGUAUUGUUAUUUCUUCAUCAUCCUGGAUCCAUCCCUUAUACUGAUGCAUUUUUUAGCAUACAGUACAUACAACAGCAAAGAAUUAUACCAUGGAAUGCUUAUAUUGCCUCCUAACACACCACACAAAUACUCACAUUAUUGUAAUAUUAUAUCAAUAAAUGUAAUAUAUACAGUACAUAUUUUCAUUUCACAUGCAACAACAAAUUGAUAAUUACGAUGUUAAAAUUCCAUCAAUUUGAAUUUAAACGUCUUCAUCAUUUGGACACCCCUGAUGAAGAAGUACCAAAGUACUCAUUUUGAUGACUUUGGACUUGACAUGACAAUAUCAUCAAAGACUUGGAACUCGGCUUGGACUUUGACAUCAGUGACACGGGACUUGACUUGGACUUUAGUCUGAUGACUUAAAAUGACUUACUUGACACUGACCUGCUCUGACCUCUGGGCGUAACUAAAUAACUACUGUAUGAUUAUGUAGCAAUAACUAAGUACUGUUAAAUGAUGUUAAAGUAAAUACAUGACUUUGGUGUGACAAGUACCAAUGUACCAAAUUUUGAUGACUUUGGACUUGACUUGACAAUAUCAUCAGAGACUUGGAACUCGACAUCAGUGACACAGGACUUGACUUGGAUCGUCUGAUGACUUAAAAUGACUUACUUGACACUGACUUGCGCCCACCUCAGGAUGUAACGACAUAACUACUGUAUGAUUAUGUAAACGUAAAUAAAUAACUUUUGUGUGACAGUUGUCAUGGUGCGGCUUGUGAGUUUCUCGGUUCGACCCCAGGAUGCAGCGAUUAGGACCCAAAUGCAAGUAAAAAUAUAUAUAUAUUUUUUGCUAUGCAGCAGAACGGCGCACUACCAAGUACAACUCAACACACCAUGAACCGACAACGAAGGGAGCGCGCACCUGAACUAAAUAGGCAACACAAAAUAGGAAACAGGUGCGGGAGAUAAUUGAAAGGAACGGAAAACCGAACAUAGCAACAGAGGAAGUGAAUACAAAAUAAGGGCAUGAACGAGGAACUAAGGAAAGCUAGAGGUAAAAACAAGAACUGUCACACGGGCAAAGAUGCAGAUUGUGACAACAGUCGUGCAUUUGGUGGCUGGUCCUUCAGUGGGGACUUAACUAGAAGAAUUAUUUCAGCAGUUAUUUAUAUUAAACAUAAUAUAUGAUAUUUUUUUAAAAGUAAUAAAAGUGCCACACCUGGGUCUGAAACCACGGUUGCCCCCCCCAGCACUAACAAAAUGAUAUUACACAAUAUCACAUUGCCGCAACACAAAUCCUCGAUUGCUAAUCACAAUUCCCUUAUCUUCAAAUACGAGCAAUUUCUUGAAAUUCACAUACAAGUCAAGUCAAGUUAAUUUAUAUAGCCCUUGAUCACAAAAGAGUCUCUGAGGGCUUUACAAGCUGGCAACCAUCAACGACAUCACCUGAUCUGAACACCCAACCGUGCAAAGAAAAACUCAAAACCCCAUUUGGGGAAAAAGGAAACCUUGAGAAGGGACCACAGAGAGGGUUGGGGGGGGGACCCCCUUCCAGGAUGAACAGGCUGCAAUGGAUAUGGAGUGGGCAACGUAUGUCACAUUCUAAAUAUAUACAAAUAAAUCCAAAUAACAUAAUAGUCCAGUUCAUAGAUGACAUCAGGAGAGCUAGUUAGCUGCGGGUCUUGGGGUGAUCACCCUCUGGGACAGCGCCUCUAAGAGGUGGACCACCUCAGAUCUUGUCCGAUUCUGUCAGGACGAGUUCCAAACAGCCGCAAACUCUACUUCUGUCAUCAUUAGCUGGCCCCACGCUCCAGAAGGGAGGAUGCUCUACUGUGCUACAUUGUGUUAUGUACACCACUGUGUAUAAUGUCGGACCCAAGGCGUGCUUGCUCUGGUGCGCAUGCGUUAAAAAAUAAACAAAAUCCGUAAUUAAUGAAAUGAAUUAGUUACCUCCAUGAACGCAGUAAAAUACAUCCACUCACCAGAGAUGUCAGUUUCUCCCCUUCCUUGUGGGCUGAACUUGGCCUGUUGAACAGUUGUGUUCUGUCCAAAUUAAAUCAACUUUAUUUGUAGAGCAGUUUUCCUGCAAAGACAUGCAACACAAAGUGCUUUACAGAAUAAAAAAAAAAUUACCACAAUUAAAAGGAAAAACAAUUACUAAGAAAGCCCCUCCCUCUAACCCUCCAUACUAGACACACACACACACACACACACACACACACAAUCACACACAGUAGGGAGACAUGGCAUGGCACUGACCAACCAAUGAAAGGACAGAAAAGUGCUAAUUCUGAAGUCUGAGUGGCUAAAAAACAACAACAACAACAACAAAACCAGCCCCAUUGCUAAUAGUGUUUAUAUAACAUGGGCCAGCACUCCUGAUUCUGAAGGCCCUGGUCAGGCAUGGCAACACAGGCUCAAAUCUGAAAAAUCACUACUGGAAGCAGUGUAUCAAAAUUAAUUGACUAUUGGAAUAAAAUAAUAGUACAGAAGUAACGACUGUAUGAUGACAUAGAAGUAACUAAGUGAGUAUAAGUAAUGAAGAAACUACUGCAUGACAGGUAUAACGUAUGUACGAUGACAAUGAUGUUUAUGUGAGUUACCACCAAAAGAAGCAAAUAGAGGCAUUUCCCCGAGGUAGUAAGUAACUAAGUAAGUACUGCACGGUGAUGUAGGAGUAACUAAGUACAGUGAACAUGAUGUGAUUGAGCACAAAAGGAAGCAAAUAAAAAAAAAAGAAGUGAGGUGCUGAUUAAAAGACAAACUUGACUGCGCCUCAAUUUCCUGAGCUUUAGAAACGUGUGUGAUUUCCAAAGGCUAUAUUAUAAUGGCCAAGGGCAACGGCACACUCGCGCACUGCGAUUUAAUGAAGCAUCUGAUAAUAUGGUUCCAACGGCACACAAAAGCACUUUGCACGCAGUUAAGUUCCGAAAUGCGUGUACGUGUUGGUGCGGCUUUCAUGCCGUCAAUGGAGACGGAACGCCAUAUUGUUAGGCCCACAAAAGCAGCAGUCCUUGCAUGAGUCCUAGCGUGACCUGCACACAUUUUGCUGCAAAGGGGAAAAAACAUCAAAUUGUAAAGUUUUUUUUUUUUUUUUUUUUUAGAUUAUCUGCUGACUACACACACUUUUUGGGACUGGACCCCAAACAUGUGUCACGAUGUAGUUCUACAUGAGGUAGUGUUACCUUGGCUAAGAUACGCCACGGCACGACUCAACCGCUACUUUGAAAAGAAAGAAGAAUAUUUUUCACUUUCUCUCAGCU